AUGCCGCUGCCCCACUGCGGAUGUCCCUUCCCUGGGCAGGACUCACCCCCCUCCUCAGCAGACCCGGGCGAAAGAAAAAAAAGAAAAAGGGAAGGAAAGGAAGAGGAGCCCCCCCCCCUCCCCCUUCAGGAACCAGCUCGGCGCACGGAACCCUACAGGGAGCUAGCCGGGGAGCGCCUUUUGCCUCGGGACCUGCGUACAAACCCCGCUGCCGCUGCUCCCGGGUCUCCCUGCUCGCAGCCUCCUACGCUCCCCUCUAUGUCACUGCCUCUCGGGGAAAAUGGCGGCCGCUCUCCCCUCCCUCCCCCUGCACGGGGCUCACCCGCCCCGCCUGGCAGGGGCAGGGUUACCAAGGCGAAGCCAAGCGGCCGCCAUUUUGCUUGUGGGCUGCUGCUGCUGCUGUUGAUGUUGCUGCGCGCCCGCCGCCCGCCGAGCCCUCCGUGUCCAUUUUGCAACUCAGCCCCGCGGCCGAGGGAGCGCAGCGAGGGGCGGGGGAUCGCUAAAACUCCGUCCUCGGCUGCUGCUUCUUUCCCCCUUCCCCCCCCGCCUCCGCCUCGGCUUCCUCCUCACGCCCGGCAUGCCGCUCGGCCCUACCUAUCCUUGGCGGAUCUCAACCCGAGGGGGCGCUAUGGCCGGGGCUGCUCGCUCGGGUUCUGCCUGUUGUUGCGCGAAAUGGCGGCCGGCGUCUUGGCAGGAGUAUUUCAAAUGAGGCUAACUACUGUGAACAGAAAGAAAAAUCGUGCUGCUGGAAGAUGGAUUAUACGGAGCAAAUUCAAUGUACCGAAUUCUACACGUCUUAGAGCUCUUUCAUCAAGUGACUAUGGUUACUAG
Molecule: long non-coding RNA, 831 nt
Filed under: Anas platyrhynchos platyrhynchos (common mallard)
Lineage: Eukaryota; Metazoa; Chordata; Aves; Anseriformes; Anatidae
Description: lncRNA (ENSAPLG00000026371.1)
Source: RNAcentral